GGAGACCUUCUCUGGAAAUAAAGAACUAGGAGAACUGAAUAUUAGCUAAAGAAUAUUUUAUAGAGCCAGUUCUGGCUAAACAUACCCAGUGGUCCAACAUCUCCUUAGCAACUUUUUUCAGCUCCAUGACAGAAAGCUACAGGCUUGGAGUAGACACUGGAGCCAUGAAUAAUUUUCAAUAUCCACGCAUGUCAGAGUAUCAAUUCCG
Molecule: unclassified non-coding RNA, 208 nt
Filed under: Hevea brasiliensis (rubber tree)
Lineage: Eukaryota; Viridiplantae; Streptophyta; Magnoliopsida; Malpighiales; Euphorbiaceae
Source: RNAcentral